RNAcentral lists this ribosomal RNA (481 nucleotides) under uncultured bacterium. RNAcentral describes it as "partial 16S ribosomal RNA". It matches the Rfam family "Bacterial small subunit ribosomal RNA", at positions 28 to 507 of the family's 1533-position model. The record is from RNAcentral.
GAUGAACGCUGGCGGCGUGCUUAACACAUGCAAGUCGAACGAAGCACUUUAUUUGAUUUCCUUCGGGACUGAUUAUUUUGUGACUGAGUGGCGGACGGGUGAGUAACGCGUGGGUAACCUGCCUUGUACAGGGGGAUAACAGUUGGAAACGGCUGCUAAUACCGCAUAAGCGCACGGCAUCGCAUGAUGCAGUGUGAAAAACUCCGGUGGUAUAAGAUGGACCCGCGUUGGAUUAGCUAGUUGGUGAGGUAACGGCCCACCAAGGCGACGAUCCAUAGCCGACCUGAGAGGGUGACCGGCCACAUUGGGACUGAGACACGGCCCAAACUCCUACGGGAGGCAGCAGUGGGGAAUACUGCACAAUGGGCGAAAGCCUGAUGCAGCGACGCCGCGUGAGCGAAGAAGUAUUUCGGUAUGUAAAGCUCUAUCAGCAGGGAAGAUAAUGACGGUACCUGACUAAGAAGCACCGGCUAAAUACGUG